RNAcentral lists this ribosomal RNA (1528 nucleotides) under metagenome. RNAcentral describes it as "bacterial LSU rRNA". It matches the Rfam family "Bacterial large subunit ribosomal RNA", at positions 1371 to 2925 of the family's 2925-position model. The record is from RNAcentral.
UGCCCUGGGUAAGUCGGGGCCUAAGGCGAGGCAGAAAUGCGUAGUCGAUGGACAGCAGGUUGAGAUUCCUGCACCCGUAAUGAACAGAACUGUAGUGACACGGAAGGUAAGACAGAGCCGGGAAUGAGAAAACCGGUGCAAGCACAAUAGAUGUGCGGGAGGAAAAACCCCCGUAUAAGUCGAAGGUGUGAUGCGGACCGAAAAAGAGUAGGGAAGCUGUUAAGCAAGCCGUCAAGAAAAGCUGCUAUUGUUUCAUUAUGGCCCGUACCGUAAACCGACACAGGUGGAUGGGGAGAGAAUCCUAAGGCCGGCGGAAGAAGUAUUGUUAAGGAACUCGGCAAAAUGACCCCGUAACUUCGGGAGAAGGGGUGCCUGCGAGAGCAGGCCGCAGAGAAGAGGCCCAAGCAACUGUUUAGCAAAAACACAGGUCUAUGCAAAACCGAAAGGUGAGGUAUAUGGGCUGACGCCUGCCCGGUGCUGGAAGGUUAAGGGGAGUGGUCAGGAAACGAAGCCACGAACUUAAGCCCCAGUAAACGGCGGCCGUAACAAUAACGGUCCUAAGGUAGCGAAAUUCCUUGUCGGGUAAGUUCCGACCCGCACGAAAGGCGUAAUGAUUUGGGCGCUGUCUCGACAAUACAUCCGGUGAAAUUGAAGUGCCAGUGAAGAUGCUGGCUACCUGCGCCAGGACGGAAAGACCCCAUGGAGCUUUACUCCAGCUUGAUACUGGGACCCGGUAUUGCAUGUACAGGAUAGGUGGGAGGCUAGGAAAUGUGGACGCCAGUCUGCAUGGAGCCGCUGUUGGGAUACCACCCUUGUGGUGCUGGGUUUCUAACCAGAGGCCGUGAACCGGUCUGGGGACAAUGUCAGGUGGGGAGUUUGACUGGGGCGGUCGCCUCCGAAAGGGUAUCGGAGGCGCCCAAAGGUUCCCUCAGAAUGGUUGGAAACCAUUCGAAGAGUGCAAAGGCAGAAGGGAGCUUGACUGCGACACCGACGGGUGGAGCAGGUACGAAAGUAGGGCUUAGUGAUCCGGUGGAAUUUAAGUGGGAAUGCCAUCGCUCAACGGAUAAAAGCUACCCUGGGGAUAACAGGCUGAUCACUCCCAAGAGUUCACAUCGACGGAGUGGUUUGGCACCUCGAUGUCGGCUCAUCGCAUCCUGGGGCUGAAGUCGGUCCCAAGGGUUGGGCUGUUCGCCCAUUAAAGCGGUACGCGAGCUGGGUUCAGAACGUCGUGAGACAGUUCGGUCCCUAUCCGGCGUGGGCGUAGGAUAUCUGAGAGGAGCUGUCCUUAGUACGAGAGGACCGGGAUGGACUGACCUCUGGUGUACCGGUUGGCGAUCAACGCCACGGCCGGGUAGCCAUGUCGGGACGGGAUAAACGCUGAAGGCAUCUAAGCGUGAAGCCCCCCUCAAGAUGAGAUAUCCCAUUCGAAAGAAGUAAGACCCCUUGAAGACGACGAGGUUGAUAGGGCAGGGGUGGAAGUGCUGUAAGGCAUGGAGCUGACUGCUACUAAUCGGUCGAGGGCUUGACC